Molecule: ribosomal RNA, 1980 nt
Filed under: Triticum aestivum (bread wheat)
Lineage: Eukaryota; Viridiplantae; Streptophyta; Magnoliopsida; Poales; Poaceae
Description: partial small subunit ribosomal RNA
Source: RNAcentral
AUGGAAGCACAAGUAUGCAAAAACUACACAGAGCGUUGGGUCAACAAAUAUGUGGAACCAAGGAAGAGUAUAGACCGUGUGGAAGGUUUUGUCAUCGUCGCGGCUGUGUUUAUGACCGCCCUUGCCAUUCUCUCGCCCAGGAGGCGUCAAUCUCGGAGCAUCAUUAUAAGAUAUGGAGUGGGCGGAGUGUUUAUAUUGUCCUUCCCACUUCUCUCCUACACUGUGGGACUGAUGCAGGCCGGGAAAAUUAAAAACGAGUUGUACCCGGUUUGGGCAAUGUUUCUGGCCAUGCUUUUCGGAGGCACCAGCUCAAUGUCUGUCCAGAAGCUCGAUCAAAACAAGCAACUCAUGAAGCUCUACUGUGAUUGUAUCUUGUUCUCGAUGUGCACCGGCACGGUAUUAGGUGGUUUUAUUUAUACAUUCGGUAUGAAGCAUAGUUCCAGUCGCCUUGUUCCUUUCAUUGGUUGCUUGUUCGUCGUGGGAUAUCUAUUGGGAAUUAAAACGGCUGAGCAGUGGUCUGCUGCAUGGUUAGCAAGCAAACCAUCAUCGAACAAUGGCAUCAAGUGGCUGGCCCUCUACAUGAAGGGUGAGCACAAACUCAGCGCAUCCUACGACCCUCGUACCAUGCAGGGAUACAAGUACCCGAUUCUAAUCCAUGCUGGGGGAGCAAAAAUUGGAGAAAAUGCAAUCACAUUGGAUAACAUUUGGUGUGACAACAUCGGUAUCUUGUCAUCUUACUAUAGAGCUCCUAUCCGUCGUCUCAAGGAUCUGUGUCUCUCAUUCGCACUGUUCCAUCUCGUGGUUCGGCGAUACUUUGGCUACACUUGUCCUGAAUCUGGGCUUGACAAGACUCGUGAUCUUGUUCUUGAUGGGCUGUUGCAAACAGAACAGGACUAUGAAAGAGCAUUUCAAGUGAUUGAAGCAGAGUUGGCUUUCCUCUACGAUUUCUUCUUCACCAAAUAUGCCUCCAUAAUGUACAGCAACGAGCUAAGGUAUUAUGCUCUUUCACUCACCCUCACAUUGGUCAGUAUAGCGGCUGGUGCAUGGUCUCUUAGUGUUUUGAACCGGCACGGUUCUAUUUUGGACAGUCGUUUUGUACAAACCAGCACACAAGAUGUCCUGGUUACCCUAAUAGCAUUGGCUGCACUGUCGGUAUCUCAGUUCCUGCAGAUAUGGUCUUACUGUGUCUCUGACUGGGCAAAAAUAUCCUUUGUUUGUAAGUACGUAGCACAUCCAUCAUGGCAAGGGAACACCCGUAUUGAGAAGCUUCUUUUAUGUUUUGGACGACCUCACAAGUGGCUUCGCUAUUGGCGCAACACUAUUGGCCAAUACUCGGUUCUUGAUUCCUUUAGUUCCAGCUACCGGCAUCGGUUGAAACAUCUCCUUCCAACUGAGGAAGCAGGCAAGCCUGUGGAGUUGCCAAUGCAAAUCAACGAUGAAUAUACACUGACCGACAGCAUACUGGCAUGGCAUGUCGCCACUAGCUUCUGUGAGAUCUCGGAUACAAUCAAACGCCCACACGAUGUGCACCCGAAUCAAGUUGUCGCCACUAUCUUGUCCAAGUAUUGUACCUACUUGGUCGCCUUUGCACCAACGUUGCUUCCAGGCAGUGCGCCAGAAACAAAGUGUGCUCUCGAUGAGAUAGUAAAAGAAGCCAAAGAAAUGCUGCAUGAUCUCGUAUCUCCAAGGGAAAAGUAUGAAAAGCUUAGUGAACUAGAGUAUGUCGUAGGUGGUGGAAGAAAAUUGUUCACCUAUGGUGCUGUGCUGGGGAAAGCGCUGGAGAGCAUGGACAAUCAUGCGAACCGGUGGGACCUACUGGCAGAUUUCUGGGCCGAGAUGAUGGUGUAUAUUGCCCCAUCUAACAAUGUAGCUGGUCACAUAGAACUUCUUGCGGAAGGAGGCGAGUUUGUGACUCACGUCUGGGCUUUGCUCAUGCAUGCUGGUAUCCUUGAGCGUCCCACUACUACAAUAAUCCCCUAG